GCACUGCUGAGGAGUCCUACGAUAGGACGAAACGGCCGUCCAGUGC
Schistosoma rodhaini is the source of this 46-nucleotide non-coding RNA. The record is from Rfam. Lineage: Eukaryota; Metazoa; Platyhelminthes; Trematoda; Strigeidida; Schistosomatidae.